CAAGUCGAACGCGCAGCAUUCUGUAGCAAUACAGGGUGUGGGCGCGUGGCGAACGGGUGCGUAACACGUGGAUAACCUUCCUUGAGGUGGGGAAUAACCCAGUGAAAAUUGGGCUAAUACCGCAUAACAUCGCGAUGGCACAUGCUGAUGCGAUCAAAGGCGCAAGUCGCCACAAGAGGGAUCCGCGGCCGAUUAGCUUGUUGGCGAGGUAAUGGCUCACCAAGGCAAUGAUCGGUAGCCGGACUGAGAGGUUGGCCGGCCACACUGGAACUGAGACACGGUCCAGACUCCUACGGGAGGCAGCAGUGGGGAAUCUUGCACAAUGGACGAAAGUCUGAUGCAGCAACGCCGCGUGGGGGAUGAAGCUUCUCGGAGUGUAAACCCCUUUCGACCCGGAAGAAUGCCCGCAAGGGUAUGACGGUACGGGUAUAAGAAGCCCCGGCUAACUACGUGCCAGCAGCCGCGGUAAUACGUAGGGGGCCAGCGUUGCUCGGAAUUACUGGGCGUAAAGGGUCCGUAGGCGGUGUAGCAAGUCGAUAGUGAAAUCUCUGGGCUUAACCCAGAGGCUGCUAACGAAACUGCUGUGCUAGAGUGUGAGAGAGGCGAGUGGAAUUACGGGUGUAGCGGUGAAAUGCGUAGAUAUCCGUAGGAACAUCCGAGGCGAAGGCGGCUCGCUGGAUCACAACUGACGCUGAGGGACGAAAGCUAGGGGAGCAAACAGGAUUAGAUACCCUGGUAGUCCUAGCCCUAAACCAUCAGGACUUGGGGUUUGCCCUGUACGGGGCAAGUCCCGUAGCUAACGCGUUAAGUCCUGCGCCUGGGGAGUACGGUCGCAAGGCUGAAACUCAAA
RNAcentral lists this ribosomal RNA (850 nucleotides) under uncultured Acidobacteriota bacterium. Its description in RNAcentral is "bacterial SSU rRNA". It matches the Rfam family "Bacterial small subunit ribosomal RNA", at positions 58 to 905 of the family's 1533-position model. The record is from RNAcentral. Lineage: Bacteria; Pseudomonadati; Acidobacteriota.